UACGGAGGGUGCGAGCGUUGUCCGGAAUCACUGGGCGUAAAGGGCGCGUAGGCGGCUUCUCAAGCGUGUGGUGAAAGUCCGGGGCUCAACCCCGGAUCGGCCGUGCGGACUGGGGAGCUCGAGUUUUGUAGAGGCGGGUGGAAUUCCGGGUGUAGCGGUGGAAUGCGUAGAGAUCCGGAAGAACACCGGUGGCGAAGGCGGCCCGCUGGGCAGAGACUGACGCUGAGGCGCGACAGCGUGGGGAGCAAACAGG
RNAcentral lists this ribosomal RNA (253 nucleotides) under uncultured bacterium. RNAcentral's name for it is "partial 16S ribosomal RNA". It matches the Rfam family "Bacterial small subunit ribosomal RNA", at positions 524 to 776 of the family's 1533-position model. The record is from RNAcentral.